GGACCCGCACAAGCAGUGGAGCAUGUGGUUUAAUUCGAUGCAACGCGAAGAACCUUACCUAGACUUGACAUGUAGUGGACAGUAUCAGAGAUGAUACCUUCCCUCGGGACCGCUACACAGGUGCUGCAUGGCUGUCGUCAGCUCGUGUCGUGAGGUGUUGGGUUAAGUCCCGCAACGAGCGCAACCCUUGUCGUUAGUUGCCAACACGUAAUGGUGGGAACUCUAACGAGACUGCCUGGGUUAACCAGGAGGAAGGUGAGGAUGACGUCAAGUCCGCAUGGCCCUUAUGUCUAGGGCUACACACGUGCUACAAUGGUCAGUACAAAAGGCAGCGAAGCCGCAAGGUGUAGCAAAUCCAAAAAACUGACCCAGUUCGGAUUGAAGUCUGCAACUCGACUUCAUGAAGUCGGAAUCGCUAGUAA
RNAcentral lists this ribosomal RNA (422 nucleotides) under uncultured bacterium. RNAcentral describes it as "bacterial SSU rRNA". It matches the Rfam family "Bacterial small subunit ribosomal RNA", at positions 917 to 1341 of the family's 1533-position model. The record is from RNAcentral.